Molecule: non-coding RNA, 72 nt
Organism: Phrynosoma platyrhinos (Desert horned lizard)
Lineage: Eukaryota; Metazoa; Chordata; Lepidosauria; Squamata; Phrynosomatidae
Source: the annotation of a GenBank genome assembly
GCUAGUAUGGUGUAGUGGUUUGAGUGUUGGACUAUGAAUCCAGAGGCCAGGGUUUGAAUCCCAGCUCACCCA